RNAcentral lists this long non-coding RNA (965 nucleotides) under Salvia miltiorrhiza (redroot sage). Its description in RNAcentral is "long non-coding RNA (SMIL_LNC005629)". The record is from RNAcentral. Lineage: Eukaryota; Viridiplantae; Streptophyta; Magnoliopsida; Lamiales; Lamiaceae.
UUUAUUUUGUCUGGAUUGUGCUUCUAGAAAUGGGGGCUCUCUAGAACUUAAUCAAAGAGUCAAAGACCCGUAGAGAAAGCAACUUGCUUUAUAAAUUAUAAUUACGCCUAAUAAUCAAAUCACCACACGACUACAGCGACACAAACUCAUCAAUAUAUUGAAGCUCAAUCACUCACACAAAAAACCCAAAUCGAAUUUUAAUUUCUAUGGGUUUGUUUCGGACAAGAAGGAACUUGUAUUUACUUUUGCUUGUAGCAUGUAUAGCAAUUCAAGAAACCAGCAGAGGUGAAACUCGGACAAUUCCCUUCCGACAGCAACUAGGUAACAUCUUGUCUUGUACCUUCGCCUCCUCUCUCUCUCUCUCUCACUCUCAUGCUGUGUUGAUAAUGAUGAUGAACAGGCAAAAACAGAACAUUUGCAACACUAGGACUGGUAUGCAAGUGCUGUAAUGGUGGAGAAGAAUCGUGUACAGUUUCAUGGAAAGGAUCCUGCUCCAAACUUCAGUGUCUGCCUUGGAAAUUUCAAUAACAUUUGGAUAUAUAUGUAUAGUUUUUAUUCAAAGGGAUCUACAAAUUUUGUAUUGAAAUGAUGAGUGUGUGUAUAUAUAUGUAUAUAGGUUUAUGUGCUGAGUUCUUCUUGUCCAUCUUAUUUCAUUAAAUUUUUUUAUGUUGUUUGGAGGAUGUUUGAUCCACCAACUUCACAUGCAUUUGGGUCGAAAGAAAGAAUUUUUGUUGUGAGAUUAUAUUAACUUGAAACGUACAUCAACAUGAGAUUUAAGAAUUUGAAUUAAAUAAAAUUUAGAUCUCAUACAAAUUUCAUGUCUAACACAGUUUUUGUGUUAAUGCUAUAUGUUCCAACUUAAAACACCUAAGUUGACUCGCAAGAGAACGAAGUCAAUUUUACCGUAGUAAAUUAACCCAAGUCAAUUAUCAAGGAAAGCUACUACAAAAAAAGGGAGAUUAUUG